AUGGCGACCGGCGCACGGUGGCGUAACGCGUAUGCAACCUACCUGUAACAGGGGAGUAACACUGAGAAAUACGGUACUAAUACCGCAUAACACUAUGAGAGGCAUCUCUUGUGGUUGAAAGUUUCGGCGGUUACAGAUGGGCAUGCGUUGUAUUAGCUGGUUGGUAAGGUAACGGCUUACCAAGGCGACGAUACAUAGGGGGACUGAGAGGUUAACCCCCCACAUUGGUACUGAGACACGGACCAAACUCCUACGGAAGGCAGCAG
This 266-nucleotide ribosomal RNA is filed under the name uncultured bacterium. RNAcentral describes it as "partial 16S ribosomal RNA". It matches the Rfam family "Bacterial small subunit ribosomal RNA", at positions 88 to 354 of the family's 1533-position model. The record is from RNAcentral.